RNAcentral lists this ribosomal RNA (433 nucleotides) under uncultured bacterium. RNAcentral's name for it is "partial 16S ribosomal RNA". It matches the Rfam family "Bacterial small subunit ribosomal RNA", at positions 29 to 507 of the family's 1533-position model. The record is from RNAcentral.
AACGAUCGCUGGCGGCAUCCCUAACACAUGCAAGUCGAACGAGACCUUCGGGUCUAGUGGCGCACGGGUGCGUAACGCGUGGGAACCUGCCCUUAGGUUCGGAAUAACUCCCCGAAAGGGGUGCUAAUACCGGAUAAUGUCUUCGGACCAAAGAUUUAUCGCCUUUGGAUGGGCCCGCGUUGGAUUAGCUAGUUGGUAGGGUAAAAGCCUACCAAGGCGACGAUCCAUAGCUGGUCUGAGAGGAUGAUCAGCCACACUGGGACUGAGACACGGCCCAGACUCCUACGGGAGGCAGCAGUGGGGAAUAUUGGACAAUGGGCGAAAGCCUGAUCCAGCAAUGCCGCGUGAGUGAUGAAGGCCUUAGGGUUGUAAAGCUCUUUUACCCGGGAUGAUAAUGACAGUACCGGGAGAAUAAGCUCCGGCUAACUCCGUG